GUACACAAAAAUGCACAUGCUGUGAGCUCGAUGAGUAGGGCGGGACACGUGGUAUCCUGUCUGAAUAUGGGGGGACCAUCCUCCAAGGCUAAAUACUCCUGACUGACCGAUAGUGAACCAGUACCGUGAGGGAAAGGCGAAAAGAACCCCGGCGAGGGGAGUGAAAAAGAACCUGAAACCGUGUACGUACAAGCAGUGGGAGCACGCUUAGGCGUGUGACUGCGUACCUUUUGUAUAAUGGGUCAGCGACUUAUAUUCUGUAGCAAGGUUAACCGAAUAGGGGAGCCGAAGGGAAACCGAGUCUUAACUGGGCGUUAAGUUGCAGGGUAUAGACCCGAAACCCGGUGAUCUAGCCAUGGGCAGGUUGAAGGUUGGGUAACACUAACUGGAGGACCGAACCGACUAAUGUUGAAAAAUUAGCGGAUGACUUGUGGCUGGGGGUGAAAGGCCAAUCAAACCGGGAGAUAGCUGGUUCUCCCCGAAAGCUAUUUAGGUAGCGCCUCGUGAAUUCAUCUCCGGGGGUAGAGCACUGUUUCGGCAAGGGGGUCAUCCCGACUUACCAACCCGAUGCAAACUGCGAAUACCGGAGAAUGUUAUCACGGGAGACACACGGCGGGUGCUAACGUCCGUCGUGAAGAGGGAAACAACCCAGACCGCCAGCUAAGGUCCCAAAGUCAUGGUUAAGUGGGAAACGAUGUGGGAAGGCCCAGACAGCCAGGAUGUUGGCUUAGAAGCAGCCAUCAUUUAAAGAAAGCGUAAUAGCUCACUGGUCGAGUCGGCCUGCGCGGAAGAUGUAACGGGGCUAAACCAUGCACCGAAGCUGCGGCAGCGACACUAUGUGUUGUUGGGUAGGGGAGCGUUCUGUAAGCCUGUGAAGGUGUACUGUGAGGUAUGCUGGAGGUAUCAGAAGUGCGAAUGCUGACAUAAGUAACGAUAAAGCGGGUGAAAAGCCCGCUCGCCGGAAGACCAAGGGUUCCUGUCCAACGUUAAUCGGGGCAGGGUGAGUCGACCCCUAAGGCGAGGCCGAAAGGCGUAGUCGAUGGGAAACAGGUUAAUAUUCCUGUACUUGGUGUUACUGCGAAGGGGGGACGGAGAAGGCUAUGUUGGCCGGGCGACGGUUGUCCCGGUUUAAGCGUGUAGGCUGGUUUUCCAGGCAAAUCCGGAAAAUCAAGGCUGAGGCGUGAUGACGAGGCACUACGGUGCUGAAGCAACAAAUGCCCUGCUUCCAGGAAAAGCCUCUAAGCAUCAGGUAACAUCAAAUCGUACCCCAAACCGACACAGGUGGUCAGGUAGAGAAUACCAAGGCGCUUGAGAGAACUCGGGUGAAGGAACUAGGCAAAAUGGUGCCGUAACUUCGGGAGAAGGCACGCUGAUAUGUAGGUGAAGUCCCUCGCGGAUGGAGCUGAAAUCAGUCGAAGAUACCAGCUGGCUGCAACUGUUUAUUAAAAACACAGCACUGUGCAAACACGAAAGUGGACGUAUACGGUGUGACGCCUGCCCGGUGCCGGAAGGUUAAUUGAUGGGGUCAGCGCAAGCGAAGCUCUUGAUCGAAGCCCCGGUAAACGGCGGCCGUAACUAUAACGGUCCUAAGGUAGCGAAAUUCCUUGUCGGGUAAGUUCCGACCUGCACGAAUGGCGUAAUGAUGGCCAGGCUGUCUCCACCCGAGACUCAGUGAAAUUGAACUCGCUGUGAAGAUGCAGUGUACCCGCGGCAAGACGGAAAGACCCCGUGAACCUUUACUAUAGCUUGACACUGAACAUUGAGCCUUGAUGUGUAGGAUAGGUGGGAGGCUUUGAAGUGUGGACGCCAGUCUGCAUGGAGCCGACCUUGAAAUACCACCCUUUAAUGUUUGAUGUUCUAACGUUGACCCGUGAUCCGGGUUGCGGACAGUGUCUGGUGGGUAGUUUGACUGGGGCGGUCUCCUCCUAAAGAGUAACGGAGGAGCACGAAGGUUGGCUAAUCCUGGUCGGACAUCAGGAGGUUAGUGCAAUGGCAUAAGCCAGCUUGACUGCGAGCGUGACGGCGCGAGCAGGUGCGAAAGCAGGUCAUAGUGAUCCGGUGGUUCUGAAUGGAAGGGCCAUCGCUCAACGGAUAAAAGGUACUCCGGGGAUAACAGGCUGAUACCGCCCAAGAGUUCAUAUCGACGGCGGUGUUUGGCACCUCGAUGUCGGCUCAUCACAUCCUGGGGCUGAAGUAGGUCCCAAGGGUAUGGCUGUUCGCCAUUUAAAGUGGUACGCGAGCUGGGUUUAGAACGUCGUGAGACAGUUCGGUCCCUAUCUGCCGUGGGCGCUGGAGAACUGAGGGGGGCUGCUCCUAGUACGAGAGGACCGGAGUGGACGCAUCACUGGUGUUCGGGUUGUCAUGCCAAUGGCACUGCCCGGUAGCUAAAUGCGGAAGAGAUAAGUGCUGAAAGCAUCUAAGCACGAAACUUGCCCCGAGAUGAGUUCUCCCUGACUCCUUGAGAGUCCUGAAGGAACGUUGAAG
Molecule: ribosomal RNA, 2484 nt
Filed under: Escherichia coli
Lineage: Bacteria; Pseudomonadati; Pseudomonadota; Gammaproteobacteria; Enterobacterales; Enterobacteriaceae
Description: partial 23S ribosomal RNA
Rfam family: Bacterial large subunit ribosomal RNA
Source: RNAcentral